This 466-nucleotide ribosomal RNA is filed under the name Vreelandella stevensii. RNAcentral describes it as "partial 16S ribosomal RNA". It matches the Rfam family "Bacterial small subunit ribosomal RNA", at positions 338 to 795 of the family's 1533-position model. The record is from RNAcentral. Lineage: Bacteria; Pseudomonadati; Pseudomonadota; Gammaproteobacteria; Oceanospirillales; Halomonadaceae.
CCUACGGGGGGCUGCAGUGGGGAAUAUUGGACAAUGGGCGAAAGCCUGAUCCAGCCAUGCCGCGUGUGUGAAGAAGGCCUUCGGGUUGUAAAGCACUUUCAGUGGGGAAGAAAGCCUUGGGGCUAAUACCCUCGAGGAAGGACAUCACCCACAGAAGAAGCACCGGCUAACUCCGUGCCAAGCAGCCGCGGUAAUACGGAGGGUGCGAGCGUUAAUCGGAAUUACUGGGCGUAAAGCGCGCGUAGGCGGUCUGAUAAGCCGGUUGUGAAAGCCCCGGGCUCAACCUGGGAACGGCAUCCGGAACUGUCAGGCUAGAGUGCAGGAGAGGAAGGUAGAAUUCCCGGUGUAGCGGUGAAAUGCGUAGAGAUCGGGAGGAAUACCAGUGGCGAAGGCGGCCUUCUGGACUGACACUGACGCUGAGGUGCGAAAGCGUGGGUAGCAAACAGGAUUAGAUACCCGGGUAGUC